UCCUAUGUGGCUUAGUUGGUAGAACAUGGUGCUUGCAACACCAGGGUUGUGGGUUCAUAUCCCACAGAGGAC
RNAcentral lists this transfer RNA (72 nucleotides) under Salmo salar (Atlantic salmon). It matches the Rfam family "tRNA". Rfam says of the family: Transfer RNA (tRNA) molecules are approximately 80 nucleotides in length. The record is from Rfam by way of RNAcentral. Lineage: Eukaryota; Metazoa; Chordata; Actinopteri; Salmoniformes; Salmonidae.